Molecule: long non-coding RNA, 373 nt
Organism: Sitophilus oryzae (rice weevil)
Lineage: Eukaryota; Metazoa; Arthropoda; Insecta; Coleoptera; Curculionidae
Exons: 3
Source: RefSeq, a predicted model, not a curated record
CCCAUAUAUUAUAAAGAUUCCCAUAAAUUAUUAAGUAAAUGCAGCGUUUGCAGUUAAGUAUGAACCCAGAUAAUUAUCCUGUGGUAAGAUCAUAUUUCAUGAACAUGAGAACAGAUAAAUUGCUGAUAAUGCUGAUUACUCAGUAGCAUGUAAGAAAAUAUGGCCAUCACGAAAACAGCCAAUCUUUUUAUUGGUCUUUAUUGAUGCGCAUCCGAGACAACGAAAAUGCCGAUGAACUAGAAAAGUUCAGGAUCAUCGGAAUCGUAUCUUUAUCCAAAGCCAACACUGGGAAUACCCAAAUUUAUGAUACGUAGUUGUGACGUAGUGCAGUAUAACUCUGGAUCAGUAUAAAACCAUCCACUAGAGAAUCUGA